UACGUAGGGUGCGAGCGUUGUCCGGAAUUAUUGGGCGUAAAGGGCUUGUAGGCGGUCUGUCGCGUCUGCUGUGAAAAUCCGGGGCUCAACCCCGGACUUGCAGUGGGUACGGGCAGACUAGAGUGUGGUAGGGGAGACUGGAAUUCCUGGUGUAGCGGUGAAAUGCGCAGAUAUCAGGAGGAACACCGGUGGCGAAGGCGGGUCUCUGGGCCGAUAUUGACGCUGAGGAGCGAAAGCGUGGGGAGCGAACAGG
RNAcentral lists this ribosomal RNA (253 nucleotides) under uncultured bacterium. RNAcentral describes it as "partial 16S ribosomal RNA". It matches the Rfam family "Bacterial small subunit ribosomal RNA", at positions 524 to 776 of the family's 1533-position model. The record is from RNAcentral.